RNAcentral lists this ribosomal RNA (255 nucleotides) under uncultured bacterium. Its description in RNAcentral is "partial 16S ribosomal RNA". It matches the Rfam family "Bacterial small subunit ribosomal RNA", at positions 99 to 354 of the family's 1533-position model. The record is from RNAcentral.
CGGACGGGUGAGUAACGCGUGGAAACCUGCCGUAUACUGGGGGAUAACACUUAGAAAUAGGUGCUAAUACCGCAUAAGCGCACAGCUUCGCAUGAAGCGGUGUGAAAAACUCUGGUGGUAUACGAUGGUUCCGCGUCUGAUUAGCUAGUUGGUGGGGUAAUGGCCUACCAAGGCAACGAUCAGUAGCCGGCCUGAGAGGGUGAACGGCCACAUUGGGACUGAGACACGGCCCCAAACUCCUACGGAAGGCAGCAG